RNAcentral lists this ribosomal RNA (340 nucleotides) under uncultured bacterium. RNAcentral's name for it is "bacterial SSU rRNA". It matches the Rfam family "Bacterial small subunit ribosomal RNA", at positions 173 to 507 of the family's 1533-position model. The record is from RNAcentral.
AUAACAUUACGAUGUGGCAUCACCAUUGUGAUUAAAAACUCCGGUGGUUGAGGAUGAGCAUGCGUCUGAUUAGUUAGUUGGAGGUGUAACGGACCCCCCAAGACGAUGAUCAGUAGGGGAACUGAGAGGUUGAUCCCCCCACACUGGCACUGAGAUACGGGCCAGACUCCUACGGGAGGCAGCAGUAGGGAAUAUUGGUCAAUGGGUGAGAGCCUGAACCAGCCAUCCCGCGUGCAGGAUGAAUGCCCUAUGGGUUGUAAACUGCUUUUAUCUGGGAAUAAACCACUCUAUUUAUGGGGUGUUGAAGGUACCAGAAGAAUAAGCACCGGCUAACUCCGUG